RNAcentral lists this ribosomal RNA (403 nucleotides) under bacterium. Its description in RNAcentral is "partial 16S ribosomal RNA". It matches the Rfam family "Bacterial small subunit ribosomal RNA", at positions 355 to 776 of the family's 1533-position model. The record is from RNAcentral.
UGGGGAAUAUUGCACAAUGGGGGAAACCCUGAUGCAGCGACGCCGCGUGAACGAAGAAGGUAUUCGUAUCGUAAAGUUCUGUCCUAUGGGAAGAUAAUGACAGUACCAUAGAAGAAAGCUCCGGCUAAAUACGUGCCAGCAGCCGCGGUAAUACGUAUGGAGCGAGCGUUAUCCGGAAUUAUUGGGCGUAAAGGGUACGCAGGCGGUUUAAUAAGUCGAAUGUUAAAGAUCGGGGCUCAACCCCGCAAAGCAUUGGAAACUGAUAAACUUGAGUAGUGGAGAGGAAAGUGGAAUUCCUAGUGUAGUGGUGAAAUACGUAGAUAUUAGGAGGAAUACCAGUAGCGAAGGCGACUUUCUGGACACAAACUGACGCUGAGGUACGAAAGCGUGGGGAGCAAACAGG